Molecule: long non-coding RNA, 963 nt
Organism: Alnus glutinosa
Lineage: Eukaryota; Viridiplantae; Streptophyta; Magnoliopsida; Fagales; Betulaceae
Exons: 3
Source: RefSeq, a predicted model, not a curated record
AUCAAGUUGUUUCUCUGUUUUAACCGACAAUCUCCCAUACUUCUUCUUUUACUCUUUCUUCCUUCUUUCCUCUUAUUUUCUUCUUCCUCAUUUCUUCUUCCUGUCUUCCCCAAACACGUAUAGAGACGAGAGAGAGAGAAGCAGAGAUGAGAGACCGAGGGAGAUCGAGAGGUUGAGAGACUGAGUUUGAGAGAGAGAGAUGCUGAGAGAGAGUGGAACAGAGAGAGAGAUCGACGGGAGAGAGAGAGGAUCCGAUCGACGGUGGGCCAGCACCGACAGAGCAGGAGGCCGGAGGUGCGAUUUCCGGCCAAUCAUGGGUGGGUCGUUGUCGGAAGCGAUUUCCAGCGGCCUGUGAUGCAAUUCCGGCGAGUGGCUCCGACCGGUUCUACCAUUUUUCUUGGUGGAUUUUCUGGGUGAUGAGUUAAGAGACUGCACUGGAAGUGUUGAUGUCUUAAUGAUACGUGAAAAUUCAGAAUUGCCCUAUUCUGGAAGGCGGUUGCAGAAGACCGUCCGGACGAGGCUAACUUCCGUCCGGACACUCGAUAGUCAGAGUUCGAAUUUGAGUAGAUUUAGGAUUUCUGUAAGCCUAUAAAUAGAUGGCUCUAGGCUUGUAAUUUGUAUGAAUUCUGUAUCGAAUUCCAUAGUGCAUAAAGGGUGUUUAGGAAGAAUUGAAGAUCCGCUAGCUCUCUAGCCGUUGCCGGUGUGUGCUCCUUAUUCGUGUGAAGUCUAUCUUAGGGGUCGACCCUAAGGUAAAUAAUUUCAUCAAAGACCCCUUCAAGUAGAAGACUUGGUUGGGAAGCGUUCACGAUGGGUUUUGUGUUCUAGUUAAAGGUAUGACUACUGUAAUGGGUUUUGUGAGUAUGAGUGCUUUGUAACUUGCUUUGUCUUUGGAUAGUGAAUUUCUUGGGUUUGGUUGCCCCGCAAUCAUUUUUCUUUUCACAGAGUUUCUACUUCGUCAACAAA